Molecule: transfer RNA, 66 nt
Filed under: Cocculina enigmadonta
Lineage: Eukaryota; Metazoa; Mollusca; Gastropoda; Cocculinidae
Description: tRNA-Ile
Source: RNAcentral
AACAUCACGCCGGAAGAACGGAUUACAUUGAUGCUGUAAAACAUAAGGUUUAUACCUUUGAUGUUU